Molecule: long non-coding RNA, 995 nt
Filed under: Rattus norvegicus (Norway rat)
Lineage: Eukaryota; Metazoa; Chordata; Mammalia; Rodentia; Muridae
Description: long non-coding RNA NONRATT014715
Source: RNAcentral
UUUUUUUUUUUUUUCAAUUUAAGAGAGUUCCUCUGUGUAGCCCUGAUUGUCCUGGGUCUCUCUGCAGACCAGGCUGUCCUCAAGUUCAGAAAUCCUCCUGCCUCUGCCUCCCACAGGUUGGGAUUACAGAUGUUCAUUGUCACUGUCCAGAUUACUUUUUUUCCAGUUGUUAUGACUCAUUCCUACAGUCUGAGGGAGGUUGAGGAGGCAUGCUAAAUUUGUUUUGCUUUUCUGAGAGGCUCUCCUGUACCUAGGCUCUGUAGACCAGGUUGGUCUCAUUCCUAAGAGUUCCGUCAGCUUUGUCUCCUGAGUUCAGGAACUAAAGACAUGUGCCACCACUGCCCUGUGAGGGGACUUGCUAUUUAACUAAAAACAAAGACGCUUCCUUGAUAACCUGGGCCAUGGGGUUUUGCCCUGUGGUUGUUUAACUCUUCUGUGAUGGUUUCUGAAACUGGGGCAGGAAGACUGUUCUGUUAAAAUAGGACAAAUGUGGAGGCUGCAUUAGAGUUUUAUGUACAGAGACAGGACCUAUCAGGACUGACACUAGGGUAGCUGGGUAGAAUCAGCUAUGAUCUGGAUGAGCCAUUUUGCACCAUUCCUAGUCCACAGACUAUCUGCCUUGUGAUUUCUAUUUUGCUUUUUUGGGACAGGGUUUCUCUUUGCAGACCAGGCUGGCCUCAAACCCAGAGAUCUGUCUUCCUCUGCUUUGGCAGUGCUGGAGUGUGCCACCAGCACCCCACUAUCUGCCCUCUUCCCUUUUUUAACUUUACAUGUGUUGGUGUUUUGCCUGAGUAUGUGUCAGAUCCCCUGAAACCCGAGUUACAGUUCUGGGUUGUCCUGUAAGUGCUGGGACUUGAUCCUGGAUCCGCUGGAAGGGCAGCUACUGGUGUCAACUGCUGAGCUUUCUAUCCAGUCCUUUCUGCCUUGUUUUUAAGACGAUAUGUUCUUCAUUUUCAGUGUCGUCAUUUGGUCAGUAUAGGUAGUAACUAUUGUUC